AGGAAAAAAACAGCAGAAUCUAUUUUUCAUUGUGGGAGAGCCCAGGUUGUCCUGCUUAUCUGAAAUUAAGCCCAAAUCCUAAAAUUUCUGAAUACCUGCUGUCAGCUUCCUGCAAACGGGCCAGGUUGCCUAAGGAAUGUCAUGAGAGAGCUGGCAGAGGCAGGGGACAGGACAGGCACCAGCAAACACCACUUCACCAUGCAGCUAUUUUCAUGUCCUCCCAGCCCACUGAAGUGCUGAUAAUGGCUUGGAUCAAUUCAACAAACACAUUUCGUAUACCUCCUUUGCACCAGACAGUGUUCACCGAGGCACGCAGGGUGGCCGCAGGUUUAAACUUACACGAAUCGCUUUCUGGAGGAGGAGGGGACCCGCUGCGCGAUUGACACGCAUAUUCCUAUAGGCAUCCUCCCUCAGCCCCCACCCCCACGGCCGGAUUCGGGUGGCUCCUCUCCGAGGUGAAAUCUGAGAAGAAAUCCUUGGAUCUCUUUUCUUAAAAAAAAAAAAAAAAAAAAAAAAU
Molecule: long non-coding RNA, 517 nt
Filed under: Homo sapiens (human)
Lineage: Eukaryota; Metazoa; Chordata; Mammalia; Primates; Hominidae
Description: non-protein coding lnc-AAK1-5:1
Source: RNAcentral